UGGGGAAUUUUGGACAAUGGGCGAAAGCCUGAUCCAGCAAUGCCGCGUGUGUGAAGAAGGCCUUCGGGUUGUAAAGCACUUUUGUCCGGAAAGAAAUCCUUGGCUCUAAUACAGUCGGGGGAUGACGGUACCGGAAGAAUAAGCACCGGCUAACUACGUGCCAGCAGCCGCGGUAAUACGUAGGGUGCAAGCGUUAAUCGGAAUUACUGGGCGUAAAGCGUGCGCAGGCGGUUUGCUAAGACCGAUGUGAAAUCCCCGGGCUCAACCUGGGAACUGCAUUGGUGACUGGCAGGCUAGAGUAUGGCAGAGGGGGGUAGAAUUCCACGUGUAGCAGUGAAAUGCGUAGAGAUGUGGAGGAAUACCGAUGGCGAAGGCAGCCCCCUGGGCAAUACUGACGCUCAUGCACGAAAGCGUGGGGAGCAAACAGGAUUAGAUACCCUGGUAGUCCACGCCCUAAACGAUGUCAACUAGUUGUUGGGGAUUCAUUUCCUAGUAACGUAGCUAACGCGUGAAGUUGACCGCCUGGGGAGUACGUCGCAAGAUUAAAACUCAAA
Molecule: ribosomal RNA, 554 nt
Filed under: uncultured bacterium
Lineage: Bacteria
Description: partial 16S ribosomal RNA
Rfam family: Bacterial small subunit ribosomal RNA
Source: RNAcentral